This is a long non-coding RNA of Symphalangus syndactylus (siamang), 1282 nucleotides long. RefSeq lists it as uncharacterized. The record is from RefSeq and is a predicted model, not a curated record. Lineage: Eukaryota; Metazoa; Chordata; Mammalia; Primates; Hylobatidae.
ACUAAAGAUAACCUCCUAACAUAGAUCCCUGAGUUGUUUUUCAGAAACAUGGAUGCCCAGCAAAUGAAUCCACUGGCACCUAGACCUCAGGAGGGCUUGCUAAUUGAAGUUGAAACAUCAGAUGUCCUGAAAGCACUCAAACUCAUCAGAAGUGGAAUUUGUCUCUUCACCCUUUGAAUCUGGCCUAGCACCUGAGCCCUGCUUUGAUGAAAAGAAUGCAGUAGCGGCAGCACUGUGGACCCCAUGAAGCUUCUCAGUGUCCAUUUUCGUCCCUUUGGAACACUGCCCAAGACUGCCACGUGAAGAAUCCCAGUCUAGCCUGGUGGAGGAGGAGAGGGUAUUGGGACUACAUGAGCCAACCCAUCUGAGGCCUUUUAAAUCAGCCAGCUGCCAGCUAGCAUCUACCAUCUACCAGGGGAGGGCAUCUUAAACCUGCCAGCCCCAGUCAAGCCACCAGAUUAUUGUAGCCACUGAGUGAGCCCAGGCAAGACCAGCAGAAAAUUUGUCGCCCAGUUGAGUCCAGCCCAAAUUGUUGACCCACAGAAUCAUGAGCAAAAAUAACAGCCGUUGUAAACCACUACAUUUUGGGGGUGGCUUAUUAUGCAGCAGAAACUAAAUUAUACAGGAGGUUAUCCCAGGAAGCACAAGUGAGGAAAUAAGAGAAGACAGAGAAAGGAGGAGAGUUAAUAAGGGGUACUCUAAGGAGCAGGUUAUUACUGUGGGCAAUUGAAGCUAAAUCCUGCUGGAUACCCUCUGAAGAGUCCUGUAGAAGGCAUCUCAGAACAGUCUCUCCACAGAAAGAGAAACCAGAUUACUCACCCAAUAAUUCCUUACCCUACACCUCACUGGCCAAUGGUUCCCUGGGGGAUUUAGGUCCUCAGCACUUCCUUUUUUUUUUUUUUUUGAGAUGGAGUCUCACUCUUGUUAUCCAGGCUGGAGUGCAAUGGUGUGAUCUCGGCUCACGGCAACCUCUGCCUUCUGGGUUCAAGCAAUUCUCCUGCCUCAGCUUCCUGAGUAGCUGGGAUUACAGGCAUGCAUCACCACUCCCGGCUAAUUUUUUGUAUUUUUAGUAAAGAGGGGGUUUCUCCAUGUUGGUCAGGCUUGUCUCGAACUCCUGACCUCAGGUGAUCUGCCUGCCUUGGCCUCCCAAAGUGCUAGGAUUACAGGCGUGAGCCACCGCGCCUGCCCUGGUCCCCAGCACUUCUGAUCUGCUGUGCAGCCAAGCUGGACAAGGUCGCUGGCAAUGGAGAGAUCUUGCAGGCAGGGAAGUAGAGGAAUGAGG